This is a non-coding RNA of Vicia faba (fava bean), 264 nucleotides long. The record is from the annotation of a GenBank genome assembly. NCBI's taxonomy places the organism in Eukaryota, Viridiplantae, Streptophyta, Magnoliopsida, Fabales, Fabaceae.
AUGAAGGACGAGGAAGCGCUCCGACUUUUACGAUGGAGAAUUUGGCCCGAAAGAACUAUUGUGGGCCCUUCCACUACUUUGGAGCCCUCCGAGGUACUACGGCUUCAAACGCUCCUCAAGUGGACCUCAUGUGCAUUGGGUCCUCUGACUCUUACGCCAUUGACAGGGUCGAACCCACACUCUUAUGGGGAAUGUCUGGUUCCUCCUUCAGAGGAUAACUCUUUAUAUUUAGCCAAUCUUUCUUGGUGUGCCCUAGAGGAAUAA